RNAcentral lists this small nuclear RNA (271 nucleotides) under Alligator mississippiensis (American alligator). RNAcentral describes it as "U2 spliceosomal RNA". It matches the Rfam family "U2 spliceosomal RNA". Rfam says of the family: U2 is a small nuclear RNA (snRNA) component of the spliceosome (involved in pre-mRNA splicing). Lineage: Eukaryota; Metazoa; Chordata; Crocodylia; Alligatoridae. The record is from Rfam by way of RNAcentral.
UCAGCAUCUCAGCCUUUUAGCUAAGAUCAAGCCUUUUUGGCACAAAACAGAAGGUGUUCGGGUUGACUCUGUCCCUCCAAGUGCUGACCUGAUGUUGAAGUACCUCCAGUGCUAAUUUCCUGUGGAGGAAAUACCUGCCUAUUUUUUUUAGGGUCAAAAAAAAAAGGUUCCUAUCAGCAUUUUUGAUACCAGGAGAAGGUAUCAGAGCUAGCUCUGGCAUCUUUAAGUGCUGACCUGGUAUUGCUGUACCUCCAGGCUCGGUACUCAUUCC